GAGGCUAUGGCGUAAUGGCAACGCGACGGAUUGUGGUUCCGUUUUAUGUGGGUUCGAUUCCCACUAGUCUCCCCA
RNAcentral lists this transfer RNA (75 nucleotides) under Bacillus cereus. RNAcentral's name for it is "tRNA-His". It matches the Rfam family "tRNA". From Rfam's summary of the family: Transfer RNA (tRNA) molecules are approximately 80 nucleotides in length. Their secondary structure includes four short double-helical elements and three loops (D, anti-codon, and T loops). The record is from RNAcentral. Lineage: Bacteria; Bacillati; Bacillota; Bacilli; Caryophanales; Bacillaceae. RNAcentral also lists the same sequence under 1 other name.